RNAcentral lists this transfer RNA (73 nucleotides) under Pneumocystis jirovecii. It matches the Rfam family "tRNA". From Rfam's summary of the family: Transfer RNA (tRNA) molecules are approximately 80 nucleotides in length. Their secondary structure includes four short double-helical elements and three loops (D, anti-codon, and T loops). Further hydrogen bonds mediate the characteristic L-shaped molecular structure. tRNAs have two regions of fundamental functional importance: the anti-codon, which is responsible for specific mRNA codon recognition, and the 3' end, to which the tRNAs corresponding amino acid is attached (by aminoacyl-tRNA synthetases). tRNAs cope with the degeneracy of the genetic code in two manners: having more than one tRNA (with a specific anti-codon) for a particular amino acid; and 'wobble' base-pairing, i.e. permitting non-standard base-pairing at the 3rd anti-codon position. Lineage: Eukaryota; Fungi; Ascomycota; Pneumocystomycetes; Pneumocystales; Pneumocystaceae. The record is from Rfam by way of RNAcentral.
GAGAAUAUAGCUUAAUGGUUUAAGCAUUUGCCUUUUAAGCAAAGGAUUAAGAGUUCGAGUCUCUUUAUUCUCA